This 378-nucleotide ribosomal RNA is filed under the name uncultured eukaryote. RNAcentral describes it as "partial 18S ribosomal RNA". It matches the Rfam family "Eukaryotic small subunit ribosomal RNA", at positions 592 to 976 of the family's 1831-position model. The record is from RNAcentral.
CAAUAGCGUAUAUUUAAGUUGUUGCAGUUAAAAAGCUCGUAGUUGGAUUUCGGGUGGGACGCAGCGGUCUCGCAUUGCGUUUGUACUGCUGCAGCCCUCCUUCUUGCCGGGGGCGGCCUCUCGGACUUCACUGUCUGGGGGUCAGAAUCGGCGAUGUUACUUUGAGUAAAUUAGAGUGUUCAAAGCAAGCUUACGCUCUGAAUAUAAUAGCAUGGGAUAACACGACAGGACUCUGGCCUAUCUUGUUGGUCUAUAGGACCAGAGUAAUGAUUAAGAGGGACAGUCGGGGGCAUUCGUAUUCCGUUGUCAGAGGUGAAAUUCUUGGAUUUACGGAAGACGAACAUCUGCGAAAGCAUUUGCCAAGGAUGUUUUCAUUGA